GAAGGUAUAGCUCAGUGGCAGAGCACCUGCUUAGCAUGCUUGAGGUCCUGGGGUCAAGCCGCAGUACCUCCA
This 72-nucleotide transfer RNA is filed under the name Camelus bactrianus (Bactrian camel). It matches the Rfam family "tRNA". From Rfam's summary of the family: Transfer RNA (tRNA) molecules are approximately 80 nucleotides in length. Their secondary structure includes four short double-helical elements and three loops (D, anti-codon, and T loops). The record is from Rfam by way of RNAcentral. RNAcentral also lists the same sequence under 2 other names. Lineage: Eukaryota; Metazoa; Chordata; Mammalia; Artiodactyla; Camelidae.